UUUGGCAUUAGGCUUACGCGCCAUAAUGCCGUUGCCCACCGCAUGCAGCAGGUGAGUCUUACCGAGGCCUGUACCGCCAUA
Molecule: antisense RNA, 81 nt
Filed under: Franconibacter helveticus
Lineage: Bacteria; Pseudomonadati; Pseudomonadota; Gammaproteobacteria; Enterobacterales; Enterobacteriaceae
Description: antisense RNA of dnaA mRNA
Rfam family: antisense RNA of dnaA mRNA
Source: RNAcentral